CAUGUGUUCAUCAUUUUCACCAGUUUCAUCAAAAUCCCAAAAAUUUAAAAAACGCUGUUGUCAAAAUUAAUUAACUCAAACAAAUCAAAAUUAUUUUCGGUAAACCUUAAACAUAUUCAUCAUCUUCAAAAAUCAAAAUCCCUAAAUUGAUCAUAUUGCAUGAUACUCUACUACUUGAAGUAAGGUUUUGCUUAUCAAAAAAAAAAAAAAAAACUUGAAGUAAGGUUUUAUUCUACACUUGAUUAUAUUGUUUAGUACAAUAUACAUUAAAGUGAAAAAUCGCGAAACAGAAUGAGAACUUUGUUUAGAAUCAAUUAUGAGGGAAUCUUGGAUUAUAGAGUAAAAUAUCAUUAUAGAAUAAUUUUCUUUUGAACUGUAGGUACUUGUUGAUGGCAUUAAUGCAUAUUCCAUGUUAUGGCUUAUUUUUGGUGAUUCUAGAAACGAAACACUAUUUCUUGUCAAAAUGGUUUCCAUCAUCUAUUUCCGCUUUAUUGUCAAACAAUAUUAUUUUUAAUUUGUGAUUUUUCGUUUUCUAUCAUGAAAGCUUAUAAACUAAUUAAAGAAAAUUUGUUAAAAAAUAUGAAUUAUUUAAAUUUGUAUAUUUUACAUGACCUCUUUACAAAAGUUGUUAAAGGGGCAACACAUUGGUGUACUUAAUUAAGAGACAGCUAAUAAUUAUAAACAAAAAAUGGAAGUUUUUCACAACUCUGAAAGUACUAUAAAAACUAUUUAUUAAUUGAUGUAAGGAGAACAAUAGCUUUAUAAAUCAAGACGUGAUAAACUACAAUUCUAUGUAAUACAUACUAAAGGUGGAGAAAAUAUGGAUAAAAUUUUCAAGUUUGUUAAUGUUAUGAUAAUCAUUCUUUCCCUAUUACUUGUUUCAAUACAAAGUCAGGUUUAUGCUGCCAGGCCAUGUAAAACUGAUGGUGAUUGUCGAGUCCGUUACUACACUGCUCGCAAAGAAUUUCCUAUAAGAAUGAAGUGUCGUAAUGGUUUUUGCAUAGAAUGCUAAUUAUAAACGUAUUACUAAAAUAUUCCAUGAAUUCUUCUUUAGGUGAUGUGACCCAUUAAAUAAAUUUUGUUUUAGCUUUUCUAAUUUCACGUACCUUAUUAGUUUUGUACUUUAAGAUGAUGCAAGCGAAAUGAAAUAAAGCAUGAAAAAUAUUAUCUAAA
Molecule: long non-coding RNA, 1173 nt
Organism: Trifolium pratense (red clover)
Lineage: Eukaryota; Viridiplantae; Streptophyta; Magnoliopsida; Fabales; Fabaceae
Exons: 2
Source: RefSeq, a predicted model, not a curated record